GACGAACGCUGGCGGCAUGCCUAACACAUGCAAGUCGAACGAGACCUCCGUGCCUUUGGGCGCACGUCGGCUUAACGCGUGGGAAGUUACCCGUGGGUACGCAAUAACUGACCGAGGGGGGUGCUAAGGCCGGUUAAGGUCAUCGCGCCUAAGAGUUAUCGCCGUGGGAUGGGGCCGCGUUGGAUUAGGGGGUUGGUAGGGUACAAGCAUACCAAGGCGACGAUCCAUGGCUGGUCGGAUAGGAUGGUCAUGCACGAUGGGACUGAGACACGGCCCAGACUCCUACGGGAGGCAGCAGUGGGGAAUAUUGUGCACGGGGCGAUAGCGUGAUACAGCAAUGCCGCGUGAGAGAUGAAGGCCUUAGGGUUGUAAAGCUCUUUUACACGGGAUGAUAAUGACAGUACCGGGUGAAUAAGCACCGGCUAACUCCGUG
Molecule: ribosomal RNA, 433 nt
Filed under: uncultured bacterium
Lineage: Bacteria
Description: partial 16S ribosomal RNA
Rfam family: Bacterial small subunit ribosomal RNA
Source: RNAcentral